GUGGGGAAUAUUGCACAAUGGGCGCAAGCCUGAUGCAGCCAUGCCGCGUGUGUGAAGAAGGCCUUCGGGUUGUAAAGCACUUUCAGCGAGGAGGAAGGUGGUGAACUUAAUACGUUCAUCAAUUGACGUUACUCGCAGAAGAAGCACCGGCUAACUCCGUGCCAGCAGCCGCGGUAAUACGGAGGGUGCAAGCGUUAAUCGGAAUUACUGGGCGUAAAGCGCACGCAGGCGGUUUGUUAAGUCAGAUGUGAAAUCCCCGGGCUCAACCUGGGAACUGCAUUUGAAACUGGCAAGCUAGAGUCUCGUAGAGGGGGGUAGAAUUCCAGGUGUAGCGGUGAAAUGCGUAGAGAUCUGGAGGAAUACCGGUGGCGAAGGCGGCCCCCUGGACGAAGACUGACGCUCA
RNAcentral lists this ribosomal RNA (403 nucleotides) under uncultured bacterium. Its description in RNAcentral is "partial 16S ribosomal RNA". It matches the Rfam family "Bacterial small subunit ribosomal RNA", at positions 354 to 749 of the family's 1533-position model. The record is from RNAcentral.